AUUUCCGUUGGGCCUUGCGGUUGAGUUUCUCUGUAAAUCUAUUUGCCCUAAAGGAGAAAGAACAAGAAGCAUCAACAGACUGAUAUUUUACCACACAAGAGGUGUUCUCUCCUGUGCUUUCUGCACAUAUGCAUCAUAACACUGUCCCUGUUCAGCUGCCCAGACUGUUGGCUGCCUGAUCUCGUUAUCAAAGGAGAGCAAACACCUGUGCCCUGGGGACCAUGGCAAUCAAUGACAUGGUCCCAGGGAUCCCUGCAGAGCCCAAAGGUCAUGCAUAGUUGAUUUGAGGCUGGGAAAUUCUCAGAAGAAAGUGAAGAGAAUAACAUUGUUCACUAACUCAUACUUUUUGUCUCCUGAGCCCCAGCUAUAGUUCUGUCCUACAGUAUGGUACACAACGCAUCCUCCCUUUAAGGAGCUUCUCGGCACUUAGACAUUUUUUCCAUUCUUUAUUAAAGUAUUUAUGAUAUCU
Long non-coding RNA from Pipistrellus kuhlii (Kuhl's pipistrelle), 469 nucleotides. RefSeq lists it as uncharacterized. The transcript is spliced from 2 exons. The record is from RefSeq and is a predicted model, not a curated record. Lineage: Eukaryota; Metazoa; Chordata; Mammalia; Chiroptera; Vespertilionidae.